ACAGUUCGGUGGGGCCUCAACUGACAUAGUUCUGCCCAGCUGUUUAGUUGCCCUGGGAGACUGAUCUUGGGUCGGCAUAGGUGCCAUAGGUCCUGUGGAGAGGAUUGAGAUUAGAUUGUUGUGACUGAGGAUUUCCAGCUCUAGACACUGUGGUCUAGACAUCAUUCUCUCAUCAUGCCCCAGCUCAGCAUCCUUGAAUUAAAGAACAAAGUUUAAGUUAAGGACAGGCAGAGGACAAGCGGAGGAAGGGUGUCAACGCGGCAGCUCAAGUGCAGCUUUCCAGAUGUUUUGCAAAGGAUGUGAGAUCAUUCUUCUAAAGUCAAAGACAAUCUUGACACAAAGUAACCCCAGUGUCAACAAGAUACCUUUGUCUAUCGAGAAAACAAACACACACACAUAUUCAGACAAACAAAUCAUCAGUUUACAUCGUGUGAGUUACUUCCAACGAGAUAACAUGCCACAUUAUAUUGGUGUAUUUUCUUAUACAUGACAUUAAAAGAAAUGUCCUAACUUGA
Long non-coding RNA from Sebastes umbrosus (honeycomb rockfish), 515 nucleotides. RefSeq lists it as uncharacterized. NCBI's taxonomy places the organism in Eukaryota, Metazoa, Chordata, Actinopteri, Perciformes, Sebastidae. The transcript is spliced from 3 exons. The record is from RefSeq and is a predicted model, not a curated record.